RNAcentral lists this ribosomal RNA (303 nucleotides) under uncultured bacterium. RNAcentral describes it as "partial 16S ribosomal RNA". It matches the Rfam family "Bacterial small subunit ribosomal RNA", at positions 507 to 809 of the family's 1533-position model. The record is from RNAcentral.
AGCAGUAGCCACGGGAAUACAGAGGGUGCGAGCGUUAAUCGGAUUUACUGGGCGUAAAGCGUGCGUAGGCGGCUUCUUAAGUCGGAUGUGAAAUCCCUGAGCUUAACUUAGGAAUUGCAUUCGAUACUGGGAAGCUAGAGUAUGGUAGAGGAUGGUAGAAUUCCAGGUGUAGCGGUGAAAUGCGUAGAGAUCUGGAGGAAUACCGAUGGCGAAGGCAGCCAUCUGGACUAACACUGACGCUGAGGUACGAAAGCAUGGGGAGCAAACAGGAUUAGAUACCCCCGUAGUCCCUGUCUCUUAUAU